Molecule: transfer RNA, 74 nt
Filed under: Paramuricea clavata
Lineage: Eukaryota; Metazoa; Cnidaria; Anthozoa; Malacalcyonacea; Plexauridae
Rfam family: tRNA
About the family: Transfer RNA (tRNA) molecules are approximately 80 nucleotides in length.
Source: Rfam by way of RNAcentral
GACCUUGUAGCUCAGACGGUAAAGCAUCGUUCUAGAAAUACGAAGGUCGCGGGUUCGAAUCCCAGCCGCGGUCA